This 296-nucleotide unclassified non-coding RNA is filed under the name rhizosphere metagenome. RNAcentral describes it as "partial ribosomal RNA internal transcribed spacer region". The record is from RNAcentral.
GUAGGUGAACCUGCGGAAGGAUCAUUACAGUAUGAUUAUGGGGGGGUUGGAUGCUGGCCCGUGAGGGCAUGUUGCGCACUCCCCUGUUGUUAAUCCUACAUAUACACCUGUGCACCUAUGGCGAGCGCCUCCCAUUUGGAGCCGUUUGAUGUCAAACCUCCCUUUCUUUGGGGGGUGAGGCUCGGACCGGGGUGCUCCCUCCUUUUCAUUACCAUCUCAGCCUGUUUGAACGCAUGUUUUAAGCUCUACGGAGCUGAAAAGUAAUAUAACUUUCAACAACGGAUCUCUUGGCUUUC